AUGGGGAAGAGAGCCUUUAAAAAAGAGCUAAAAGCCACAAUUAAGAUCAGAUUCGUGGAAGUUUUGUGUGUUUGGCAGCACAGAAGCCAAGAGCAGCCCGGUGCGCUUCUCCCUGCAUGUUCAACAUCUGGAAUACCGAUCGUCGAGUUCUGGGAACAUCUGGAACACCGAUCACUGAGUUCUGGGAACACACAGAACAAGUUGCUUUGCAGCACGCACGUUCCCCUUGCAGGGCUGGAAACGUUUUAUACAGCAAAUCUGAUGUGCCAGAAUCCACAUGGUCAGCUGCAAACCCUUCCCUGCCCUGGAGCCGUGUGUGAUUUCUGCAGCCGAAUCAUCAAAAGGAGCACAGGAGAGGAAGGGGGCAAGCGAUGGAAAGCCCAACGAUUCACCACAAGAGGAGUAUUAUGGGGUGCAGAAAUAACUCAGCCAGCGGAGAAGGCAGAAGGUGUCCCCCUCCCAAGCUUACAUUGCUGUGGAAGAGCUGACGGCGGGACCCCAGGUGCCACCCAAGGACUGGGACAUCCCCAACCCAACUGCAGUCUGCGGUCCCCAGAGCAAACUGUGAGUGAGCAGUGGGUGCCCCCAGAGCGCCCUGGGGUGGGAGUGGGGGGGGGGUCAAAUUGGGUGAGCUUCAAGGACUCUUCCAACCCAAUCAUCCCAUGGUUCUAUAAUCUUCAAGGUCCCUUCCAACCCAAUCAUCCCAUGGUUCCAUGACCUUUCAGGACCCUUCCAACCCAACCAUCCCAUGGUUCUGUGAUCUUUAAGGGCCCUUCCAAUUCAAUCAUCCCAUGGUUCUAUGAUCUUCCAGGACCCUUCCAACCCAACCAUCCCAUGGUUCUGUGAUCUUUCAGGACCCUUCCAACCCAACCAUCCCAUGGUUCUGUGAUUUUUCAGGACCCUUCCAACCCAACCAUCCCAUGGUUCCGUGACCUUUCAGGACCCUUCCAACCCAGCCAUCCCAUGGUUCUGUGAUCUUCAAGAAUCCUCCCAACCCAACCAUCCCAUGGUUCUAUGAUCUUUCAGAACCCUUUCAGCUCAGCCAUCCUAUGGUUCUGUGACCAUUAAGGUCCCUUCCAACCCAACCAUCCCCUGCUUCUAUCAUCUUGAAGGUCCUUUCCAAUCCAACCAUCCCAUGGCUUUAUGAUCUUUCAGGACCUUUCCAACACAACCAUCCGAUGCUUCUGUGUUCUUUCUGGACCCUUCCAACCCAACUAUUGUUCUGUGAUCUUUAAGGACCCUCCUAACACAACCCACCACUGCAGGUUCCUCUCUUCCCACCCUCCCCACCCACAUUUCCCUCCACCCCUACCCUAUGCAGUCAGUUCAGGUCUCCUUGCUCCUCUCCUUGCUCCUUCCCCUCAUGGUGUUCUCAUCAGGGUGUUCCCAUAUGGAUGUUCCCAUUUGGGUGUUCCUAUAUGGAUCUUCUCAUCCAGGCAUUCCAAUACAUGGGUUCCCAUAUGAAUGUCCCAUCCAGGUGUUUCCAUCCAGGACUUUUCCCAUAUGGAUUUUCCCAUCCACGUGUUCCCUUUUGGGUGUUCCCACAUGGAUCUUCCCAUCACGAUGUUGCCACCAGGACAUUCCCAUCCAGGCUUUUCCAUCAGGGUGUUUCCAUUUGGGUGUUCCCAUAUGGAUCUUCCCAUCAUGGUCUUCCCAUCUGGAUAUUCCCAUCCAGGUGC
RNAcentral lists this long non-coding RNA (1679 nucleotides) under Phasianus colchicus (ring-necked pheasant). Its description in RNAcentral is "lncRNA (ENSPCLG00000011547.1)". The record is from RNAcentral. Lineage: Eukaryota; Metazoa; Chordata; Aves; Galliformes; Phasianidae.